UAUUGGGCAAUGGGCGCAAGCCUGACCCAGCAACGCCGCGUGAAGGAAGAAGGCUUUCGGGUUGUAAACUUCUUUUGUCAGGGACGAAGCAAGUGACGGUACCUGACGAAUAAGCCACGGCUAACUACGUGCCAGCAGCCGCGGUAAUACGUAGGUGGCAAGCGUUAUCCGGAUUUAUUGGGUGUAAAGGGCGUGUAGGCGGGAAUGCAAGUCAGAUGUGAAAACUAUGGGCUCAACCCAUAGCCUGCAUUUGAAACUGUAUUUCUUGAGUGCUGGAGAGGCAAUCGGAAUUCCGUGUGUGUAGCGGUGAAAUGCGUAGAUAUACGGAGGAACACCAGUGGCGAAGGCGGAUUGCUGGACAGUAACUGACGCUGAGGCGCGAAAGCGUGGGGAGCAAACAGG
RNAcentral lists this ribosomal RNA (402 nucleotides) under uncultured bacterium. RNAcentral describes it as "bacterial SSU rRNA". It matches the Rfam family "Bacterial small subunit ribosomal RNA", at positions 362 to 776 of the family's 1533-position model. The record is from RNAcentral.